AUUGAACGCUGGCGGAAUGCUUUACACAUGCAAGUCGAACGGCAGCACAGACUUCGGUCUGGUGGCGAGUGGCGAACGGGUGAGUAAUACAUCGGAACGUGCCCAGUCGUGGGGGAUAACGUAGCGAAAGCUACGCUAAUACCGCAUACGAUCUACGGAUGAAAGCGGGGGAUGGCAAGACCUCGCGCGACUGGAGCGGCCGAUGGCAGAUGAGGUAGUUGGUGGGGUAAAGGCUCACCAAGCCGACGAUCUGUAGCGGGUCUGAGAGGACGACCAGCCACACUGGGACUGAGACACGGCCCAGACUCCUACGGGAGGCAGCAGUGGGGAAUUUUGGACAAUGGGCGCAAGCCUGAUCCAGCCAUUCCGCGUGCAGGAUGAAGGCCCUCGGGUUGUAAACUGCUUUUGUACAGAACGAAAAGGCUCUGGUUAAUACCUGGGGCUCAUGACGGUACUGUAAGAAUAAGCACCGGCUAACUACGUGCCAGCAGCCGCCGUAA
This 500-nucleotide ribosomal RNA is filed under the name uncultured bacterium. Its description in RNAcentral is "partial 16S ribosomal RNA". It matches the Rfam family "Bacterial small subunit ribosomal RNA", at positions 30 to 523 of the family's 1533-position model. The record is from RNAcentral.